CCUACGGGUGACAGCAGUGAGGAAUAUUGGUCAAUGGACGCAAGUCUGAACCAGCCAUGCCGCGUGCAGGAUGACGGCUCUAUGAGUUGUAAACUGCUUUUGUACGAGGGUAAACCCCGAUACGUGUAUCGGGUUGAAAGUAUCGUACGAAUAAGGAUCGGCUAACUCCGUGCCAGCAGCCGCGGUAAUACGGAGGAUGCGAGCGUUAUCCGGAUUUAUUGGGUUUAAAGGGUGCGUAGGCGGACAGUCAAGUCAGCGGUAAAAAUGCGGUGCUCAACGCCGUACAGCCGUUGAAACUGGCAGUCUUGAGUGGGCGAGAAGUAUGCGGAAUGCGUGGUGUAGCGGUGAAAUGCAUAGAUAUCACGCAGAACUCCGAUUGCGAAGGCAGCAUACCGGCGCCCUACUGACGCUGAGGCACGAAAGCGUGGGUAUCGAACAGGAUUAGAUACCCUUGUAGUC
Molecule: ribosomal RNA, 459 nt
Filed under: uncultured bacterium
Lineage: Bacteria
Description: partial 16S ribosomal RNA
Rfam family: Bacterial small subunit ribosomal RNA
Source: RNAcentral